Molecule: long non-coding RNA, 101 nt
Organism: Maniola jurtina (meadow brown)
Lineage: Eukaryota; Metazoa; Arthropoda; Insecta; Lepidoptera; Nymphalidae
Exons: 3
Source: RefSeq, a predicted model, not a curated record
ACCGCCUCCACGUACUCUUCCUUGAUGGCGUGCAGCAAUGCAUCCUUGACUUUGAUCUCGGAGUUGAGGAAUAGCUUGAUCAGCUCGAUAUUCUAAUUUUC